RNAcentral lists this ribosomal RNA (910 nucleotides) under uncultured bacterium. RNAcentral describes it as "bacterial SSU rRNA". It matches the Rfam family "Bacterial small subunit ribosomal RNA", at positions 33 to 926 of the family's 1533-position model. The record is from RNAcentral.
ACGCUGGCGGCGUGCCUAAUACAUGCAAGUAGAACGCUGAAGAGAGGAGCUUGCUCUUCUUGAAUGAGUUGCGAACGGGUGAGUAACGCGUAGGUAACCUGCCUUGUAGCGGGGGAUAACUAUUGGAAACGAUAGCUAAUACCGCAUAACAAUGGGUGACACAUGUCAUUUAUUUGAAAGGGGCAAUUGCUCCACUACAAGAUGGACCUGCGUUGUAUUAGCUAGUAGGUGAGGUAACGGCUCACCUAGGCGACGAUACAUAGCCGACCUGAGAGGGUGAUCGGCCACACUGGGACUGAGACACGGCCCAGACUCCUACGGGAGGCAGCAGUAGGGAAUCUUCGGCAAUGGGGGCAACCCUGACCGAGCAACGCCGCGUGAGUGAAGAAGGUUUUCGGAUCGUAAAGCUCUGUUGUAAGUCAAGAACGAGUGUGAGAGUGGAAAGUUCACACUGUGACGGUAGCUUACCAGAAAGGGACGGCUAACUACGUGCCAGCAGCCGCGGUAAUACGUAGGUCCCGAGCGUUGUCCGGAUUUAUUGGGCAUAAAGCGAGCGCAGGCGGUUUGAUAAGUCUGAAGUUAAAGGCUGUGGCUCAACCAUAGUUCGCUUUGGAAACUGUCAAACUUGAGUGCAGAAGGGGAGAGUGGAAUUCCAUGUGUAGCGGUGAAAUGCGUAGAUAUAUGGAGGAACACCGGUGGCGAAAGCGGCUCUCUGUCUGUAACUGACGCUGAGGCUCGAAGGCGUGGGGAGCGAACAGGAUUAGAUACCCUGGUAGUCCACGCCGUAAACGAUGAGUGCUAGGUGUUGGAUCCUUUCCGGGAUUCAGUGCCGCAGCUAACGCAUUAAGCACUCCGCCUGGGGAGUACGACCGCAAGGUUGAAACUCAAAGGAAUUGACGGGGGCCCGCAC